GUUGUGUUGAUUAACAUUUUUUUAAAUACAAGUUUUUGAAACUUUUUAAAAUGUUGCAUACCUUUUUUUGUAACACAUAAAUAUUUUUUGAAUGUCACAAACACAAGAAUAUAAAUUGUUUUCUUACAUCUGGACGUGUUGUGUUGUCGGUGGUAAUCUUAGUUAACCUUGACCACAAGGUCACAUGGUUGAGCCACGGUGCUCAUUUUUUUCCGUGUUACAUUUCUUGUAAAAUUUAUUUUCAGUCAAUGUUUAUAUGAUACAGAAAUUAGUCGUGCUAUAUAGACAUGAAUAGUCAGUAGUCUGGUGGUUGUACACGUGAGACUACUAGGGCACGUUGCAGCUUCAAAACCCCAUAUCGUUUGCUUUUUAAUUUUAUUUUUAGGGGCUUAAUAUGAAAAUAAAAAAAGGCAAAGGCUUCUCUGCAGAUUUAGAUGCUACAGCGGAUGAUAGUGGGCCCUGGCCACACUGGAAUGCCACAUAGGCCAUGGAUACGUUCGUGUACAUGAAAUGUGACUGUAUAUGAAUGCUCGUGCAAGUUUGAUGACCAGAAACACGUAUUUUACAAGUUUGUGUACCAAAUUGACCAUUGCAUGCAAGUUCUAUGACUUCGGGUGUAUUUACCUCUAUAAUCUAGAACUCAUUGGUGCAUCACAACUUUAGCGAGCGCUGGGCUGACAAAUCGCUCGAGCAGGGAGUACUCCUCGGGAUAGUGAGAGCUAAGAAACAAGGGCUCCAUCGAUGCAUCAGUUGCUGGAGGAUCAGUUGCUGGAGCAUUUGUAAUAUGUGGCUCCAUUUUAUGCAUUUGUAAUCUCUACUCCUAGGAAUAGGGAUAGCUUAGAAACAAGGGCUCAAUCAUCAGUUGGUGGAGCAUCAGUUCCUGGAGCAUUUGUAAUCUAUGCAUGCAUUGGUAAUGGAUUUGUUUUGUAAUCAGUGUAAUCUGUGCAUGCGUUUGUAA
Molecule: long non-coding RNA, 958 nt
Organism: Triticum dicoccoides
Lineage: Eukaryota; Viridiplantae; Streptophyta; Magnoliopsida; Poales; Poaceae
Exons: 2
Source: RefSeq, a predicted model, not a curated record